AUCAGACUCACUUUAUAUUAUUAUCUCUAGUGACAUACCGGAAGGCAUAUUCAACAUCACAUGAUGUUUACUUGCUGAGGCCAUUUUGUUUGCAUUUUCGAGAUGGUUAUAAAAUCUUAUCAUACUUACUACCUGAGAUUUUUGACAGCUUGGACUGAGCAAGAACUUGUAUUUCAAAAAGAUCAUAGAGGCGCCUCCUGAGUAUGUACCACCAGCAGAUUCUGAGUCACCUUACAGCAGAGUAACUGUAACUUGUAAACAGAGAGCAUUAUAAUCUGCAGUAUAUAAAUCUUCCUGUAUGCUUGUCCAGAUGCACAUCAUACCAUCCAAAACUUUGAGUCAGAAGAAAACCUGUACACUUGUCCAUAUCCACAUUACAUCCCAUGAGGUUACAAGAGUGUUCAAGGACCAAAAAUAUGGUUUUAGGAUUGAUCUAAUCAUUCUCUUUAGUUACCUUCCUUUAAAGCAAAAUGUCUGUUAUCAUUGGGCAAAUACUGCUAAAAUUGGUGAAAAACACAUAAUUUCCCACUCAAACAUUCAAAUAGUUCUACCUAUGAACAUAUACAUAGAGAGCAGUGACAUCUCUUCCUACUGUUCCAUUCCUAAGACAUGGCUUACAGACAAGUAGCAGACAAAGAGAGACUUGAUCUCUUACAUAGGCUACAGUUGUCUCCACAGUCCAAGACACCAGACACUGUACUGGAAUGGACUGAGCUUGAUAUAGACAAUGCUGAUAUAGACAUCCUACCAGAGUCCAUUGACAGGUGC
Molecule: long non-coding RNA, 768 nt
Organism: Lingula anatina
Lineage: Eukaryota; Metazoa; Brachiopoda; Lingulata; Lingulida; Lingulidae
Source: RefSeq, a predicted model, not a curated record